RNAcentral lists this unclassified non-coding RNA (339 nucleotides) under soil metagenome. RNAcentral describes it as "partial contains 5.8S ribosomal RNA, internal transcribed spacer 2, and large subunit ribosomal RNA". The stretch from base 1 to 120 matches the Rfam family "5.8S ribosomal RNA", at positions 35 to 154 of the family's 154-position model. The record is from RNAcentral.
GAUGAAGAACGUAGCGAAAUGCGAUAAGUAGUGUGAAUUGCAGAAUUCAGUGAAUCAUCGAAUCUUUGAACGCACAUUGCGCCCCUCGGUAUUCCGUGGGGCAUGCCUGUUCGAGCGUCAUUUAACCCCUCAAGCCUAGCUUGGUAUUGGGUGCUUGUCCCGCCUCUUGCGCGGCGACUCACCUCAAAGUCAUUGGCAGCCCGCAUCUCGCCGGCCGUGAGCGCAGCACAGACGCGCUCUUGGCAACGACGGAUCGGCUCUCCAAAAGCUUAUUUCAACCACUGACCUCGGAUCAGGUAGGGAUACCCGCUGAACUUAAGCAUAUCAAUAAGCGGAGGA